AUUGAACGCUGGCGGCAUGCUUUACACAUGCAAGUCGAACGGCAGCGCGGGGCAACCUGGCGGCGAGUGGCGAACGGGUGAGUAAUACAUCGGAACGUACCCAGAAGUGGGGGAUAACGUAGCGAAAGUUACGCUAAUACCGCAUACGUUCUACGGAAGAAAGUGGGGGACCUUCGGGCCUCAUGCUUUUGGAGCGGCCGAUGUCUGAUUAGCUAGUUGGUGAGGUAAAGGCUCACCAAGGCGACGAUCAGUAGCUGGUCUGAGAGGACGACCAGCCACACUGGGACUGAGACACGGCCCAGACUCCUACGGGAGGCAGCAGUGGGGAAUUUUGGACAAUGGGCGCAAGCCUGAUCCAGCAAUGCCGCGUGAGUGAAGAGGGCCUUCGGGUUGUAAAGCUCUUUUGUCAGGGAAGAAACGGCUGAGGAUAAUACCUUCGGCUAAUGACGGUACCUGAAGAAUAAGCACCGGCUAACUACGUGC
RNAcentral lists this ribosomal RNA (483 nucleotides) under uncultured bacterium. RNAcentral describes it as "partial 16S ribosomal RNA". It matches the Rfam family "Bacterial small subunit ribosomal RNA", at positions 30 to 508 of the family's 1533-position model. The record is from RNAcentral.